RNAcentral lists this ribosomal RNA (531 nucleotides) under uncultured bacterium. Its description in RNAcentral is "bacterial SSU rRNA". It matches the Rfam family "Bacterial small subunit ribosomal RNA", at positions 777 to 1301 of the family's 1533-position model. The record is from RNAcentral.
AAUAGAUACCCUGGUAGUCCUAGCCUUAAACGAUGAAUGCUUGGUGUCUGGGGUUUUAUAGUCCCCGGGUGCCGUCGCUAACGCUUUAAGCAUUCCGCCUGGGGAGUACGGUCGCAAGACUGAAACUCAAAGGAAUUGACGGGGACCCGCACAAGCGGUGGAGCAUGUGGUUUAAUUCGACGCAACGCGAAGAACCUUACCUGGGCUAGAAUGCCUCUGACCGGCGUAGAGAUACGCUUUCCUGGGUAAAACCAGGCAGAGUGCAAGGUGCUGCAUGGCUGUCGUCAGCUCGUGCCGUGAGAUGUUGGGUUAAGUCCCGCAACGAGCGCAACCCUUAUCAAUAGUUGCCAGCGGUUCGGCCGGGGCACUCUAUUGAGACUGCCGUUGACAAAACGGAGGAAGGUGGGGAUGACGUCAAGUCCUCAUGGCCUUUAUGUCCAGGGCUACACACGUGCUACAAUGGCGAGUACAAAGCGCUGCAAACCUGCAAAGGGGAGCCAAUCGCAAAAAGCUCGUCUCAGUUCGGAUUGG